UACGGAAGGCAGCAGUGGGGAAUAUUGCACAAUGGGCGCAAGCCUGAUGCAGCCAUGCCGCGUGUAUGAAAAAGGCCUUCGGGUUGUAAAGUACUUUCAGUCGUGAGGAAGGUGUUAAGGUUAAUAACCUUAGCAAUUGACGUUAGCGACAGAAGAAGCACCGGCUAACUCCGUGCCAGCAGCCGCGGUAAUACGGAGGGUGCGAGCGUUAAUCGGAAUUACUGGGCGUAAAGGGCACGCAGGCGGUUAAUUAAGUUGGAUGUGAAAUCCCCGGGCUUAACCUGGGAAUGGCAUUCAAGACUGGUUAGCUAGAGUCUUGUAGAGGGGGUAGAAUUCCAUGUGUAGCGGUGAAAUGCGUAGAGAUGUGGAGGAAUACCGGUGGCGAAGGCGGCCCCUGGGACAAAGGACUGACGCUCAUGUGCGAAAGCGUGGGGAGCGAAAC
RNAcentral lists this ribosomal RNA (442 nucleotides) under uncultured bacterium. Its description in RNAcentral is "bacterial SSU rRNA". It matches the Rfam family "Bacterial small subunit ribosomal RNA", at positions 340 to 774 of the family's 1533-position model. The record is from RNAcentral.